UUCAGAAAAGAUUGUGAGGUUUGUCAUGCCUUUAAGAGAGUAAGCCUUUUUCUAUAUCUUAUCCUAUACAGUAUCUAGCACAAUGUGUUGUACACAGUAACCCUUUGAAAACAGUUUUGUACUCACUCAAAAAACAUUUCUUUAUGGAGGAUCAAAGUUCAUGAUCAAAUGAACUGAACUACUUGUUCUUGGCAGGGAACAGCUCCCUCAGAGGCCCAACCAGGAUGAGGCAGAGCCUUUCAAGAGAGAUAAAGGAAAACAGAAGAAGCUGUGAUAAAGUCCCUCAAGCUUCAUGUGGCUGUACCUCCAGAGGCACCUGAGGGUUCCUACACUCUGAGAGGUAGGUAUCUGAAAGCCUCAAGGAUUUUUAGUGUUUUUUUUGUUUGUUUGUUUUUAGGAACCACUGUUCUUCCAACUCCCAAUACUGAUCAGGAGGCAUAGAUUCCCACUACUCUAUGUGUGAUAAAAGGUUUCUAAUCAGGAAAAAGAAGACCUGGGAAGAAUUAUUAGAGUUGGUGGCAUCUGAUCCAGCCCUCAAAGUAUAAAACAUUGGUGAAUGUGUGUCUCAGAUACACACUAGGACCAAAACUGUGCUUUCUAAAUUGUUCACCUUCUGCCAUAUCCAUAGACAGAGGCUGCCAAACACCUGUUUCAAAGUAAGGAAAGAAAUUCAAAGAGAUGAACAGGAGGCACUUACAUUAAAAAGAAUGUAGGUUGUAUCUGUACUUCCAACAUUUAGAAACUUAUAUUUGUGACUGUGACUCAGAUAAAAAAAGGUCUGUGAAUCUCCCCCCAAAUCAUCUCUUCCUUGCC
Molecule: long non-coding RNA, 813 nt
Filed under: Sus scrofa (pig)
Lineage: Eukaryota; Metazoa; Chordata; Mammalia; Artiodactyla; Suidae
Description: lncRNA (ENSSSCG00055002807.1)
Source: RNAcentral